This is a non-coding RNA of Podarcis lilfordi (Lilford's wall lizard), 1237 nucleotides long. Lineage: Eukaryota; Metazoa; Chordata; Lepidosauria; Squamata; Lacertidae. The record is from the annotation of a GenBank genome assembly.
UGUCUGGACAAAAUAUAAAGACUUGCUGGAAAAUAAAACACCCAGGUGGCUUUCACCACUAGAAGCUAAGGCCCGAAAAAGACCCAAUAUGGAGGCUAAAUGGCCAAAAUACUGGGAAAUACUAGAAAAGGAUGGAGACAAUUGGAAAUUGCAGAGUUUGGAGAAAAUGAAAGACAAAGUGCGAGAUUGGUUACAUUACGCUCAGAUUAAAGAAGUUUUUAAAAAUGAUAAGAAAUUAGGGUUCCAGGUGGAGAAAUCGAAACUAGAAACAGAAUUGUUAGAACCAAAGAUUAAGGUACUAUCAAGGAUGUAUAACUUGCUGUUAGAAUGGAAUACACAAGAUGAAACGGUUAAAUCGGCUAUGAUAAGGUGGGCACAGGACAUUGGGUAUAAUAUUAUGUUUGAGGACUGGGAAAGGUUGUGGAGUAAUGGAUUGAAAUUUACCGCAUGUAACGCUUUGAAAGAGAAUGUAAUGAAAAUGAUUUAUAGAUGGUAUAUGACCCCAGUCAAACUUGCAAAAAUUUACCACCUGUCUGACAAUAAGUGUUGGAAAUGCAAAGAGUGUGAGGGAACGUUUUUCCACCUCUGGUGGACUUGCCCUAAAGUGAAGGCGUUCUGGGAAAUGAUUUAUAAUGAAUUGAAAAAGGUAUUUAAAUAUACCUUCACUAAGAAACCAGAGGCCUUCCUUUUGGGUAUUGUCGGCCAAGGGGUGGCAAAGAGGGACCAGACAUUUUUUAUGUAUGCAACAACAGCAGCAAGGAUACUUCUCGCAAAAUACUGGAAAACUCAAGAUCUACCCACACUGGAAGAAUGGCAGAUGCAACUGAUAGACUACAUGGAACUGGCUGAAAUGACCGGCAGAAUUCGUGACCUGGGAGAAGAGAGGAUAGAGGAGGAUUGGAAGAAAUUUAAGAAUUAUCUACAAAAACAUUGUAAUUUGAGUGAAUGCUAAAUAAGAUGCUAGACUAAAACAACUGAGCACCACUAAAUUUAGAAUUUUUUCAAGAAAACAAGUAAGAUUGUGAAAAUUUAACUCCUUUCGAGAAUUACAAGAUUAUGAAAUAUAGAAGGGAUAUAAGAAUUUAAAUAAGAUGAUAAAUUGCUGAUAAAAUGUUAUAACGAUGAAAGUGGGAGCGGGAGAUGUGAGGAAGUCCAAAGAAAAUGUGAAACUAUGUUAAGACAAAUGUUAUAUUGUUUAUCAUGUUUAUUUUUAUUGUAAAACCCAAUAAAUUGCUUU